This 254-nucleotide ribosomal RNA is filed under the name uncultured bacterium. Its description in RNAcentral is "partial 16S ribosomal RNA". It matches the Rfam family "Bacterial small subunit ribosomal RNA", at positions 524 to 776 of the family's 1533-position model. The record is from RNAcentral.
UACGGGGGGAGCAAGCGUUGUUCGGAUUUCCUGGGCGUAAAGGGCGCGUAGGCGGCCACCGCAAGUCGGUUGUGAAAUCUCUGGGCUUAACCCAGAAAGGUCAACCGAUACUGCGGGGCUAGAGUGCAGAAGGGGCAACUGGAAUUCUCGGUGUAGCGGUGAAAUGCGUAGAUAUCGAGAGGAACACCUGCGGCGAAGGCGGGUUGCUGGGCUGACACUGACGCUGAAGCGCGAAAGCUAGGGGAGCGAACGGG